RNAcentral lists this ribosomal RNA (433 nucleotides) under uncultured bacterium. Its description in RNAcentral is "partial 16S ribosomal RNA". It matches the Rfam family "Bacterial small subunit ribosomal RNA", at positions 29 to 506 of the family's 1533-position model. The record is from RNAcentral.
AUGAACGCUGGCGGCGUGGAUAAGGCAUGCAAGUCGAGGGCGCUCGCAAGAGCGACCGGCGAACGAGGUAGUAACACGUAGGUACGCACCCUUUAGUCUGGCAUAGCUUCUCGAAAGAGAAGAUAAUUCCGGAUGGUCUCGAAAGAGUAAAGAUUUAUCGCUAAAGGAGCGGCCUGCGACCUAUCAGCUAGUUGGUGAGAUAAUGGCUUACCAAGGCUAUGACGGGUAGGGGAGCUGAGAGGCUGACCCCCACCGGUGGAACUGAGAAACGGUCCACACACCUACGGGUGGCUGCAGUCGAGAAUCUUCCGCAAUGGGCGAAAGCCUGACGGAGCGACGCCGCGUGGUUGAUGAAGUCCUUCGGGACGUAAAAACCUUUUAUGAUUAAGAAAGUUUAUUGAUCUGAUCAUGAAUAAGGGGCUCCAAACUCUGU